CACUUUUAAUUAUAUUUUAUAUACCGCCGUCUUGAAUAGAUUUAAAAAUUUUAUUCAAAAAAAAAUUCUAAAAAUUUAGGUAAAGGUGUAAACUAUUUAAAAGACAAAAUGUAUUACAUUAAAUAAAAUUUAAGGAUCGAGUUAAAUAUAAUUUCAAGAAAAAGGAUUUAUAAGUAUUAUUUAAUUAAUAUUAAAAUUUG
Molecule: ribosomal RNA, 200 nt
Filed under: Tetragnatha perreirai
Lineage: Eukaryota; Metazoa; Arthropoda; Arachnida; Araneae; Tetragnathidae
Description: partial 12S ribosomal RNA
Source: RNAcentral